AUAGUAGAGGGGCAUUAUGUUUUCUGGUCUGUGGCUCCGUUCGUUCGUUCGUCCCGCUUCAGGUUAAAGUUUUUGGUCGAGGUAGUUUUUGAUGAAGUUGAAGUCCAAUCAACUUGAAACUUAGUAUAUAUGUUCCUUAUUAUAUGAUCUUUCUAAUUUUAAUGUCAAAUUAGAGUUCUGACCCCAAUUUCACGGUCCACUGAACAUAGAAAAUGAUAGUGCGAGUGGGGCAUCUGUGUACUGGGGACACAUUCUUGUUUUUAA
This 264-nucleotide long non-coding RNA is filed under the name Mytilus galloprovincialis (Mediterranean mussel). The record is from RNAcentral. Lineage: Eukaryota; Metazoa; Mollusca; Bivalvia; Mytilida; Mytilidae.